RNAcentral lists this long non-coding RNA (1271 nucleotides) under Salmo salar (Atlantic salmon). Its description in RNAcentral is "lncRNA (ENSSSAG00000111142.1)". Lineage: Eukaryota; Metazoa; Chordata; Actinopteri; Salmoniformes; Salmonidae. The record is from RNAcentral.
CUCCUCUCCCACCCUCACCCUGCAGCCUCCUCUCCCACCCUCACCCUGCAGCCUCCUCUCCCACCCCUCACCCUGCAGCAGCCUCCUCUCCCACCCUCACCCUGCAGCCUCCUCUCCCACCCUCACCCUGCAGCAGCCUCCUCUCCCACAUGGAUUACAUAUCAACUGAAAUAGGAACAAGAAAAGUAUCUAGAGGUGUGACUGAAAACAAGUGCCAUAAUAAUUCAGACAUUUAGGUCUGGUAGGGAGUGAAUAAAUGGGAGUUUCUUUGUGUGUGUAUCAAAAAGUCCUUUGUAACCAAGCAACUGACUGUCACAGGUCUGGUUGGCGAUAAGCUUUAGGGCUGCUUGUUAACGCGGAGCCUUCAGUGUUAGCAAGCCGUCGUAACGCCUUGGACCAGAGCUAGUUGCUGCCGCGCUAAGCCUUUCCAGCUCUCGUUCAACUAAUAUAGACUGGUUCAGAUAGAAUGUCCAUCUAUUUUGUUUGAUGUGGGUAAUUUAAACGUUAUUUAUUAAUAUCUAAGCAAUUAUUAGGGCAUGUUGAAUUGACAGGUUGUGCGGGAUAGUUACAUUUUUUUUUUUAUAUAUAUUAAUUUACAUUUAUUUGAGGUGUUGUCGUUUCAUCCAAACCAUUUUUAAUAUUAACCUCUAUCGAUGGGUUGUUGUUUUUCUAUGACCGUUUGGUGUAGGCUUGCUUCCCAAAUGGCCCCCUAUUCCCUAUUUAGUGCACUACUUUUGAUCAGGGGCCCAUAGAGCUCUGGUUAAAUAUAGUGCACCUAAUAGUGAAUAGGCUUCCAUUUGGGACGUUCCCAUAAUCCACCUCUCUUCCUCCCUCCGGCUUGGUAGCAUUUUAGAAUUUGAAUAUAAUGUCAAAUGUUUUGUUCCUGGGUUUUUUUUCCUUUUAAACUUUGACUUUAUUCAGUAUUUUUGCACCAUGUAAGAAGCACUUUUGUAAAUUUUCUUUUUUUAUUUAAAAUGACAAAACAAGGGAAAUACAUUAGUUUUCUGUAACAUCAUUGGCCUUCCCUUCAAAACUUUGAAUGUAUGCAGUUAUUGUAAUAAAACAUUUUUUAAAACUAUUAACAAUACACACCUACUGUCGUUCUACUUACUAACUGCCAGUAAACCCAGGCUGCUGUGACGUGUGUGUCAACUCCUAUAUUUGGCUUGCUAACUCCUAUGGUCACUGUCAAGGGGAUACAAACAGAUCUGGGAGCAGGGAAGGCCAUCUGUACGAAGGUGUAUGGAAAGAAUUGAUACAGUAUUGUUGAG